CUGAUUAACUUGUACUUGCAGGGAUGAUAGACCCAUACAUGGCCGUGCAGUACUGGGGCCAGGAGCACAAGGGAGGCACCGCCCGAGGUCAGUGCUUCCAUAGCUCUCUGGUUUUUUUAUUUCGUUACUCAUCUAUGUUCAAAGUGACUGAAAUGUAUGCCCUGGUCUGCACUGUUCAGUUCCACAGGAAAUUUCUUGCCAUUGGCACCAUUAUGACCAUUAUUUCCUAUGCAAGCACACAAUUGAAAAGUUUGUUUGGAUAGUUAAUUUAGUUCUUUGUGUUGGAUCCACAUCUCACGUGUACCAUCCUUGGACAUGAUGCACGCCGCCAGGUCCGCGCCGACAUCGUGCUCAUGAAGCCUGGCCUCUGCGUUGUGUUCUCCAUCUUGCAACGCAUGAUGAACUACACGGUAGAGUUCAGCCGAGGAAGAAUCAGGUGAUUCUGGAUUGUUGUGUAAUUGUUUAUAUUCCUAACUGAGAUGGGAUUACAGUUUAUUUGCUUGAUUAUUUGUCAUGUUUACUUAGAUAAUCCAUUGAUGGUUGAUCUGGUUAAGUACAUAUGCUACCCCUUGUUUGUUUAUAUUGCUAGCUGAGAUGGGAUUACAGUUUAUUUGCUUGAUUAUUGGCCGCAUUUACUUAGAUAAUUCAUUGAUGGUUGAUCUUGUUAGCUACAGAUGCUACCCCCUAUUCUGAACAAGCUUUAAUUUUGGUGGACUAAUCCCAGUUUGACAUAGUUGCUGGUCAUCAACAAAAAGCCGACCACAUAAUCCUGUAUUUUAUUUCUGUGUCGUUUCAAAAUUUCUGCUCUACACAGAAUCUUAAGAAGUUUGGGUAUGCACACAUGUCCUAAUAAUAAUGAGUUGUUUAGUGCAAUGCAUGUGGCCUGAUUACUUCUUUUCUUUCCUUUUUUAUGUUGUACGUUCUUGGAGGUCGCCUUUUCUUUCUUCUGUUGAUCAAGUUUUCUUCUUCUUUCUUCUGCUUAUCAGGGUUUCUUCCUUUCCUUUUUCUGGAAAUUGCAUUUAUUAUGUGACCUAUGUAUUUUCAUUAUUCUUGCUUCAUUGGUCAUGUUGAUAUUCUGGGUUUGGCCCGACAUUUUGUUUUCUUUUGCCUCAUGCCAUUCAUAUUUUGUGGUUGCGUGUGGACAUGAUUUGCGUGCUUAUUUCAAUUGUUAGCCAUGUAUCAUGGUGUGCUUUGCCUGCUUUUUCAUGCUUGUGUGAAUUGACCAUGGUCUGUUCUUGUUGGGGUAAAGCCUGAACUGCCGGGUACACUUUGGUUAUUGUCCUUAUUCUGGUUCUCCUUGGCAUCUUUCUAUCACUGGAGAUCCUUGUUUUCAAAUAGCAGGGAUAGAGGGACAGAAAAGAUAUAUUUGUCACGGCGCUGCAAGUGUUGCCCCCCUCCUCCCCAAGGGCAAGGUGAAGGAAGGUGCCUGUGUGGUUCUUAUGCAGUUCGCAACGAGGAUUGUUGUGUCCAACCUGCACAAGAAUGCCAAGAAGUCCUUCUCGGAGACGAUUAAGGACAUGUACCUGCACUACAACGAGAGAUUUGGGCUGCUUCUUUGUGGCUUCCAAACUUGAAAUGUUUGUUUGGAAGUUAGUUUAGUUUUUUGUUGUGGAUUCAUAGCUUCUCACAUGUACCAUCCUCUUAGACCUUUAGAUUUCCAAAGAAACUAAAUGAAGAUAUGGUGGUAUGGUCUCAAUAAUACAAUUUAAAGCCUUCCAUGCUUUAUAUUUUCUUUGAAAUUUGCUCUUGAAGAAUCAUGUAUCUACGUUUGAUUUGGUGAGAAAAGGCGGCUUUCAAGCA
This is a non-coding RNA of Triticum urartu, 1800 nucleotides long. NCBI's taxonomy places the organism in Eukaryota, Viridiplantae, Streptophyta, Magnoliopsida, Poales, Poaceae. The record is from RefSeq and is a predicted model, not a curated record.